RNAcentral lists this ribosomal RNA (253 nucleotides) under uncultured bacterium. RNAcentral's name for it is "partial 16S ribosomal RNA". It matches the Rfam family "Bacterial small subunit ribosomal RNA", at positions 524 to 776 of the family's 1533-position model. The record is from RNAcentral.
UACGAAGGGGGCUAGCGUUGUUCGGAGUUACUGGGCGUAAAGGGCGCGUAGGCGGCGCACCAAGUCAGGCGUGAAAACCCUGGGCUCAACCCGGGAAUUGCGCUUGAGACUGGUGUGCUUGAGUACGGGAGAGGAUAGUGGAAUUCCCAGUGUAGAGGUGAAAUUCGUAGAUAUUGGGAAGAACACCGGUGGCGAAGGCGGCUAUCUGGACCGUAACUGACGCUGAGGCGCGAAAGCGUGGGGAGCAAACAGG